UCCCUGAACCUCCCUACACCAUUUGUUUGCACUCUACCGGACCUUAAUGGCCGGUCCAUGGUCGGCUAUGGCGGCCGCCCGCCAUUCGCGUGACCGAAGGAGAAGGGAGAGAGUAGAGCGUGAUUAGAGGGUAUCAACGGGGCCGCGAAGGCGAGGCGAAGUCGAUGCGCACGCGCGCGCGGGCCGGGAACCACGCUAGCGGCGGCCGGAGUCGUGGCCAAGCCGCCGUGUGCGGUAGAGACGGAGCUGACAAGUGGGGUCUUCCUGUCAGCGUCUCGCAGAGAGGAGAGGAAGCGGAGCCUGACGAGCGGGACCCGCUCGUCAGUGACCGCAAAGAGAGGGGGCAGCGCGCGCAGCGUCCACGUGGGCCGGGAGGGAGUGGGCCGGCCUGCGGGCCGAUUUCCGGCCGCUCGCUGCAGUGUUUUUCUUUUUUUCUUUUUAUGCAGUUUUUGAUUUAUAUUUGAAAUUGUGUAAUAAAUCUUGUGUAGAUCCAAAAAUCAUGGAAAUUUUUGUGUAGAUUCCCUGGAAUAAGUAGAACCCAAGAAAAAUAUUAGGUUCUGUUUUCUGAUAGUUUGCAAGCGUAUAAAAAUUGCCUCUUUUAAUUAGCAAAUAAAACUUCUAUGAAUUUUAAUAAUUUAUUAGUAUGUCCAAAAAUCACCAAGCUUUGUGGGGAGCCUCUGAUUAUUAUUUCCAGAUUCCACACAAAAUUUGGUGACAUUUGGAUAAUGUUGGAAUAAAAUAUUAUUAAACCCUUAUUUAGUAAUUAAAUAAUAAUUCUAAAAUAAUUGGACAAUAAUUAGAUAAAUUCCAAAAAUUAGGAUUUGAGUGACUUUGGCAUUGUGUGUUGACCUGAGGUCAUUAAUCUUAAUGACCUUUGGCAUUCAAUUAUUGUUUGGCCUUAAUGCUUAAUUACUGUCA
Molecule: long non-coding RNA, 918 nt
Filed under: Sorghum bicolor (sorghum)
Lineage: Eukaryota; Viridiplantae; Streptophyta; Magnoliopsida; Poales; Poaceae
Description: long non-coding RNA (SBIC_LNC013854)
Source: RNAcentral